Cyanistes caeruleus (blue tit) is the source of this 561-nucleotide long non-coding RNA. Lineage: Eukaryota; Metazoa; Chordata; Aves; Passeriformes; Paridae. The record is from Ensembl.
AUGAGGAGUCUGUCCACCCUGUCACAGCACUCCCAGCAUGAGCCCUUUCCUCAGCAGUGCAGCAUCUCCCCAGGACACAUCCCCACUGCCUGUCCUUACCCCACACAUCCACCAGCCCAGCGGGAGCCACCCCACUUUCCAGUCUCCUCCUCUUUUCUCCCCCAGCACCAUGGGAGGAGCUCUCAGUCACCAGAGCUGCUCUCUGCCAUGGCAAGAGCAGGAUCUGAGCAGCAAAAUGUAGGAGCAGAUAUUUAUGGAUGUAUCUCCUUUAACCAUCAGAGCACCUGUGGCCAUGUCUCACCAGUGCUGGAAACAAGGAUCGAGCUGCCACAUUCCCAUGGAACAACAGUGAUUCAACCCAGCACUGGUGCUCCCUGGGAGAUGGUGACCAAAGCAGGAACAUGUGGGAGGACCCAAAAGGAGCCAAAAGUAGGAAAGCCAAGAAAAGUAAAAUUAUUUGCCCAGGAUCACUCAUCAGAAGGCUCUGCACAUUCAGGAGGGUUCAAAAGGAGCAGAGAAGGGCACCUGAAUGAGCUGGUGAGUGGAGGACACAUGGUAUAA